RNAcentral lists this ribosomal RNA (368 nucleotides) under uncultured bacterium. RNAcentral's name for it is "bacterial SSU rRNA". It matches the Rfam family "Bacterial small subunit ribosomal RNA", at positions 29 to 380 of the family's 1533-position model. The record is from RNAcentral.
AACGAACGCUGGCGGUGUGCCUCAUACAUGCAAGUCGUACGCGAAUCCUGCCGCAAGGCAGGGUUUGAGUGGCAAACGGGUGCGUAACACGUAGGUAAUCUUCCUUUGAGUUGGGGAUAAGCCCUCGAAAGGGGGUCUAAUACCGAAUAACACUUCGGGCCGGCAUCGGCCUGAAAUUAAAGAUGGCCUCUGCUUGCAAGCUAUCGCUCGGAGAUGAGCCUGCGGCCGAUUAGUUAGUUGGCGGAUAAAAGCCCACCAAGACUUCGAUCGGUAGCCGGUCUGAGAGGAUGUCCGGCCACACUGGGACUGAGAUACGGCCCAGACUCCUACGGGAGGCAGCAGUAGGGAAUAUUGCGCAAUGGCCGCAA